UGGGCCUGCAGUCUCGACAAAGAUAGCGAUCGCUUAACGACAAAAUUCGGUCGAUAAGUCCUAACGAUCCGAUCGUAACGAUUUUUGGUAGUCUCUACUGCCAAAACUAUCGAGUGUCAUCGCAAAGUUACCGAAUAUUUUCGGUAAGAUAACGAUUUAUCGUUAUGUCAUAGAAUUUCCUUGCGACAGUUUUUGACAGCCCGCUAAGUGAUAGCUACUAUCGAUAUCGUUCCUAUAUUUGUUUAUUUUACGUCAGAAAAUAUUAAAUAAAUAGUAAUUUAAUAAAUAAUGGCUUCUGAAUAUUUAGCAUGGGACUUAGUUGUGCUCGAGCACAGACGCGAUGUGCUUAUGGGUCGACAAAUAGCACGAAACAAGCGAAACGAUGAAAAUCCCUUGGAUUUGGAGGAUGGCCAAUUUCUUCAAAUGUAUAGAAUUUCAAAGGAAAUGUUUCACAGGCUACUAAGUGAACUGCGUCCAUCUCUCCAAAGACGACGGCCUUACGGACUUUCUGUGGAGUCCCAAAUACUGACGGCACUCCGAUUUUACGCAUGUGGGUGCUACCAACAACCUGUUGGCUUGCAGUGGGGUUGUAGCAUGAGCCAAAAUCUGUUAGCCGAGUCAUCCGGGCUGUAACUUCGGCAAUAAAUGAAAACUUUUAAGAAAAUAUAUUAAAUUUCCAAUGACUCAAGGAGAACGCCAUGCGGCAAAACAGAAAUUUAGAAAUGCCCCACAGCCAUUCCCAGGGGUAAUUGGAGCCAUUGAUUGCACCCAUAUAAAAAUUUUAGCUCCUAAGACCAAUGAGGAGUCUUAUGUGAGUGGUCACCAUGAGGGCCAUUCAUUAAAUGUGCAAGCUGUGUGUGACCCUGAUCUUAUUAUUUUAAAUAUUAAUGCUCGAUGGCCAGGAGCGAGACAUGAUGCUCACAUAUGGGCAAAUUCACCGGUGCGCUCAACAAUGAAGCGACAUUUUGAAAAUGGGGACCGCCGUGCUUGGCUGCUUGGUGAUGAUGGAUAUCCUCUGGAACCGUGGUUAAUGACUCCCAUAAAACAUCAACAGC
This is a long non-coding RNA of Helicoverpa armigera (cotton bollworm), 1055 nucleotides long. RefSeq lists it as uncharacterized. The record is from RefSeq and is a predicted model, not a curated record. The transcript is spliced from 4 exons. NCBI's taxonomy places the organism in Eukaryota, Metazoa, Arthropoda, Insecta, Lepidoptera, Noctuidae.